UGGGGAAUAUUGCACAAUGGGCGAAAGCCUGAUGCAGCGACGCCGCGUGAGGGAUGGAGGCCUUCGGGUUGUAAACCUCUUUCAGUAAGGGUGAAGGCUCUCUUUUGUGGAGGGUUGACAGUACUUGCAGAAGAAGCGCCGGCUAACUACGUGCCAGCAGCCGCGGUAAUACGUAGGGCGCGAGCGUUGUCCGGAAUUAUUGGGCGUAAAGGGCUUGUAGGUGGCGUGUCGCGUCUGCUGUGAAAUUCCAGGGCUUAACUUUGGGAUUGCAGUGGGUACGGGCAUGCUAGAGUGCAGUAGGGGAGAUUGGAAUUCCUGGUGUAGCGGUGAAAUGCGCAGAUAUCAGGAGGAACACCGGUGGCGAAGGCGGGUCUCUGGGCUGUUACUGACGCUGAGGAGCGAAAGCGUGGGGAGCGAACAGG
This 422-nucleotide ribosomal RNA is filed under the name Verrucomicrobiota bacterium. Its description in RNAcentral is "Verrucomicrobia bacterium partial 16S ribosomal RNA". It matches the Rfam family "Bacterial small subunit ribosomal RNA", at positions 355 to 776 of the family's 1533-position model. RNAcentral also lists the same sequence under 1 other name. Lineage: Bacteria; Pseudomonadati; Verrucomicrobiota. The record is from RNAcentral.